UACGUAGGGGGCGAGCGUUGUCCGGAAUCAUUGGGCGUAAAGAGCGUGUAGGUGGCCCGAUAAGUCCGCCGUGAAAGUCCAGGGCUCAACCCUGGAAAGCCGGUGGAUACUGUCGGGCUGGAGUCCGGAAGAGGCGAGUGGAAUUCCUGGUGUAGCGGUGAAAUGCGCAGAUAUCAGGAGGAACACCAAUGGCGAAGGCAGCUCGCUGGGACGGUACUGACACUGAGACGCGAAAGCGUGGGGAGCAAACAGG
RNAcentral lists this ribosomal RNA (253 nucleotides) under uncultured bacterium. Its description in RNAcentral is "partial 16S ribosomal RNA". It matches the Rfam family "Bacterial small subunit ribosomal RNA", at positions 524 to 776 of the family's 1533-position model. The record is from RNAcentral.